CAUGGCAAUAGCUGAUCUUUCUUGGGACGUAGAGCGCGCUCAAGUGGUUGAUUUUACGUACCCUGUUUUCUACGAAACCACAAAAUUCAUUUACAAGUCACCUUAAUUUUUUAAGUCGUGCCUGGAUUCUCUUUGAACCUUACUCAACAAAGCUCUGGAUCACGCUAGUUUUCAUCAUGUUAGUUUUGGGAAUUGUCAUCUUUCUCCUCACCCUUGUGUAUAGCAAUAUCUCAGAAAAUAAAACACCAUCUGUGAUAGAACUUGUCGGUCAAUGCUUGGAAAACUCGUAUCGACAACUUGUUAUCCAAGGGUGUGCUUGGUUGCCGGAAACAGCGAGUUCUAGAGUAGUAAUGGCCGUUUGGUGGUUUGCUAUGGUGAUUUUCAGCGCUGUCUACAGUGGAAAUCUAACGUCUACUUUAAGUCUUAAGAAAACUGAAAGUCCAACGAAUACCUUAGAAAGUUUCACUGAAAAGUAUCCUUCAUUCCAGCUAGCUGUAACAAAUGGAUCUUUGGCUCAUAGUUACUUCAAGAGGUCCGAGUAUUUUAAAACAAUCUGGGAAACCAAUAUUCAGUACGGUGUUCUGAAUCUAAAAGUUGACAGCAUUAUGAAGCUUGUGAGGAACGGCUCU
Limulus polyphemus (Atlantic horseshoe crab) is the source of this 629-nucleotide long non-coding RNA. RefSeq lists it as uncharacterized. Lineage: Eukaryota; Metazoa; Arthropoda; Merostomata; Xiphosura; Limulidae. The transcript is spliced from 4 exons. The record is from RefSeq and is a predicted model, not a curated record.